Molecule: ribosomal RNA, 2495 nt
Filed under: Staphylococcus aureus
Lineage: Bacteria; Bacillati; Bacillota; Bacilli; Caryophanales; Staphylococcaceae
Description: partial 23S ribosomal RNA
Rfam family: Bacterial large subunit ribosomal RNA
Source: RNAcentral
UACGGAGUUACAAAGGACGACAUUAGACGAAUCAUCUGGAAAGAUGAAUCAAAGAAGGUAAUAAUCCUGUAGUCGAAAAUGUUGUCUCUCUUGAGUGGAUCCUGAGUACGACGGAGCACGUGAAAUUCCGUCGGAAUCUGGGAGGACCAUCUCCUAAGGCUAAAUACUCUCUAGUGACCGAUAGUGAACCAGUACCGUGAGGGAAAGGUGAAAAGCACCCCGGAAGGGGAGUGAAAUAGAACCUGAAACCGUGUGCUUACAAGUAGUCAGAGCCCGUUAAUGGGUGAUGGCGUGCCUUUUGUAGAAUGAACCGGCGAGUUACGAUUUGAUGCAAGGUUAAGCAGUAAAUGUGGAGCCGUAGCGAAAGCGAGUCUGAAUAGGGCGUUUAGUAUUUGGUCGUAGACCCGAAACCAGGUGAUCUACCCUUGGUCAGGUUGAAGUUCAGGUAACACUGAAUGGAGGACCGAACCGACUUACGUUGAAAAGUGAGCGGAUGAACUGAGGGUAGCGGAGAAAUUCCAAUCGAACCUGGAGAUAGCUGGUUCUCUCCGAAAUAGCUUUAGGGCUAGCCUCAAGUGAUGAUUAUUGGAGGUAGAGCACUGUUUGGACGAGGGGCCCCUCUCGGGUUACCGAAUUCAGACAAACUCCGAAUGCCAAUUAAUUUAACUUGGGAGUCAGAACAUGGGUGAUAAGGUCCGUGUUCGAAAGGGAAACAGCCCAGACCACCAGCUAAGGUCCCAAAAUAUAUGUUAAGUGGAAAAGGAUGUGGCGUUGCCCAGACAACUAGGAUGUUGGCUUAGAAGCAGCCAUCAUUUAAAGAGUGCGUAAUAGCUCACUAGUCGAGUGACACUGCGCCGAAAAUGUACCGGGGCUAAACAUAUUACCGAAGCUGUGGAUUGUCCUUUGGACAAUGGUAGGAGAGCGUUCUAAGGGCGUUGAAGCAUGAUCGUAAGGACAUGUGGAGCGCUUAGAAGUGAGAAUGCCGGUGUGAGUAGCGAAAGACGGGUGAGAAUCCCGUCCACCGAUUGACUAAGGUUUCCAGAGGAAGGCUCGUCCGCUCUGGGUUAGUCGGGUCCUAAGCUGAGGCCGACAGGCGUAGGCGAUGGAUAACAGGUUGAUAUUCCUGUACCACCUAUAAUCGUUUUAAUCGAUGGGGGGACGCAGUAGGAUAGGCGAAGCGUGCGAUUGGAUUGCACGUCUAAGCAGUAAGGCUGAGUAUUAGGCAAAUCCGGUACUCGUUAAGGCUGAGCUGUGAUGGGGAGAAGACAUUGUGUCUUCGAGUCGUUGAUUUCACACUGCCGAGAAAAGCCUCUAGAUAGAAAAUAGGUGCCCGUACCGCAAACCGACACAGGUAGUCAAGAUGAGAAUUCUAAGGUGAGCGAGCGAACUCUCGUUAAGGAACUCGGCAAAAUGACCCCGUAACUUCGGGAGAAGGGGUGCUCUUUAGGGUUAACGCCCAGAAGAGCCGCAGUGAAUAGGCCCAAGCGACUGUUUAUCAAAAACACAGGUCUCUGCUAAACCGUAAGGUGAUGUAUAGGGGCUGACGCCUGCCCGGUGCUGGAAGGUUAAGAGGAGUGGUUAGCUUCUGCGAAGCUACGAAUCGAAGCCCCAGUAAACGGCGGCCGUAACUAUAACGGUCCUAAGGUAGCGAAAUUCCUUGUCGGGUAAGUUCCGACCCGCACGAAAGGCGUAACGAUUUGGGCACUGUCUCAACGAGAGACUCGGUGAAAUCAUAGUACCUGUGAAGAUGCAGGUUACCCGCGACAGGACGGAAAGACCCCGUGGAGCUUUACUGUAGCCUGAUAUUGAAAUUCGGCACAGCUUGUACAGGAUAGGUAGGAGCCUUUGAAACGUGAGCGCUAGCUUACGUGGAGGCGCUGGUGGGAUACUACCCUAGCUGUGUUGGCUUUCUAACCCGCACCACUUAUCGUGGUGGGAGACAGUGUCAGGCGGGCAGUUUGACUGGGGCGGUCGCCUCCUAAAAGGUAACGGAGGCGCUCAAAGGUUCCCUCAGAAUGGUUGGAAAUCAUUCAUAGAGUGUAAAGGCAUAAGGGAGCUUGACUGCGAGACCUACAAGUCGAGCAGGGUCGAAAGACGGACUUAGUGAUCCGGUGGUUCCGCAUGGAAGGGCCAUCGCUCAACGGAUAAAAGCUACCCCGGGGAUAACAGGCUUAUCUCCCCCAAGAGUUCACAUCGACGGGGAGGUUUGGCACCUCGAUGUCGGCUCAUCGCAUCCUGGGGCUGUAGUCGGUCCCAAGGGUUGGGCUGUUCGCCCAUUAAAGCGGUACGCGAGCUGGGUUCAGAACGUCGUGAGACAGUUCGGUCCCUAUCCGUCGUGGGCGUAGGAAAUUUGAGAGGAGCUGUCCUUAGUACGAGAGGACCGGGAUGGACAUACCUCUGGUGUACCAGUUGUCGUGCCAACGGCAUAGCUGGGUAGCUAUGUGUGGACGGGAUAAGUGCUGAAAGCAUCUAAGCAUGAAGCCCCCCUCAAGAUG